RNAcentral lists this transfer RNA (68 nucleotides) under Stegodyphus mimosarum. It matches the Rfam family "tRNA". From Rfam's summary of the family: Transfer RNA (tRNA) molecules are approximately 80 nucleotides in length. Their secondary structure includes four short double-helical elements and three loops (D, anti-codon, and T loops). The record is from Rfam by way of RNAcentral. Lineage: Eukaryota; Metazoa; Arthropoda; Arachnida; Araneae; Eresidae.
GCCUUCGUAGUGUAAGGAAAGCACACUCGGUAAUCGAGAAGUCCGGGGUUCGAGUCCCGGCGAGGGCA